Astatotilapia calliptera (eastern happy) is the source of this 1016-nucleotide long non-coding RNA. The record is from Ensembl. Lineage: Eukaryota; Metazoa; Chordata; Actinopteri; Cichliformes; Cichlidae.
GGGCCUUCGCCUCCUGCCUCCCUCCACCUCCUCCACCACCUCAGUCCCCAUACCCCCUCUCCACCCUGUCUUCUCUCUCAUCGCUCAGCCCUGCCACCUCUCACACUCAGAGACUCUACAUCAGCCCGCAGUCGCCGUUCUACUGAUGGUGAGACUCUGCAGUGAGGAGGGAUUUAAACUGUGCUUAAUCAAAUGUUCUUCAAAGUCUGCCUCGUCGAGGAGAUACAUACUGUCUCUGAAGACUUUUUGUGUCCUACUAAUAUAAGAAAGGUUUCCAAGGAGACAGAGUAAAGGCGAUUUGAUUUUAUGCCCUAAUUCAGUAUAACUAGUUUUAUGUGACAUUAUUUGGGGUUUAUUUAUUUAUUUUUGCGCUUCAGAGCAUGUUAUCUUAUGUUUUUUGUCUUUUUUCUUUAUGCCCUCCAGUCAUUUUCUGCCAGAGGCGCUGCCUCGCCUGAAGGUCAGAAGUUAGAGGAAGAUCUACUGAAGGAAAAGUGCGAGGAAGAAAAGGCAGGCUGUGUUUCUUACAAUUACGCUGCACACGGUGUAAUUGUAUUGUUAAUGUGCUUUUUUAAAUUAGAGCCUCUGUUAUGUUAACUUUUGUCCUCCUGUUAUGUGGCGAAGGAGGGGGCAGAGUCACUGUUUUAUCAUCCUCUUCUUCUUCUAGAGGAAUUUUUGUAGCUGCUGACUUCCUUCACAAUCCGACUCUAAAUAUGAAGCUCCAAAACAAAAGACCAUUUUUGUCUUUUCUUAUUUUGUGUGAGCUGCUUUGCAUCCAGGCUGAUUUUAAGCACGAGGAAGAAGGAGGCUCUGCAACAACUUUUGUUGUUGGGCUUUUAGUCUCAUUUAAACUGCAUUCAGCACAAACAGAGGCACAGUUAGUUUCUCAUGGUUUUGUUUCACAUUCUAGUUGUUUAGUGUUCAUAAAGAAAAGUUCAUUUAUCAGUAAUUUCAAAAAAACAACAAUGGGGCGGGGGGUCCUUUUAAAGCGUUGAUCUAUCCAAAAGCAGCCGCCUGAG